This 228-nucleotide long non-coding RNA is filed under the name Elaeis guineensis (African oil palm). RNAcentral describes it as "long non-coding RNA (EGUI_LNC052161)". The record is from RNAcentral. Lineage: Eukaryota; Viridiplantae; Streptophyta; Magnoliopsida; Arecales; Arecaceae.
AGGAUGCUGAGCGUGACCAACACGAGAAGUUAUUUGGAUGUCUACUCACUCAUCAGUGACUUUCUCGAUGCUGUAGUAGGUGAAUAGUUCUUUGAACUAUGGCAUCUCGACUGUUUACAAUGAGAUUGCUGUAGCUUGACUACACCAUAAUUUCAUCUCCUAGCCAUAUGAAGUCUUGAGGUAUAUGUUGGCUGCAGUAGGUUCAUUGUAGGAAUAGAGUGUGCACCU